RNAcentral lists this ribosomal RNA (254 nucleotides) under uncultured bacterium. RNAcentral's name for it is "partial 16S ribosomal RNA". It matches the Rfam family "Bacterial small subunit ribosomal RNA", at positions 524 to 776 of the family's 1533-position model. The record is from RNAcentral.
UACGUAGGGUGCAAGCGUUGUCCGGAAUUAUUGGGCGUAAAGAGCUCGUAGGCGGUUUGUCGCGUCUGCUGUGAAAACGCGAGGCUCAACCUCGCGCCUGCAGUGGGUACGGGCAGACUAGAGGUGCGGUAGGGGAGAUUGGAAUUCCUGGUGUAGCGGUGGAAUGCGCAGAUAUCAGGAGGAACACCGAUGGCGAAGGCAGAUCUCUGGGCCGUAACUGACGCUGAGGAGCGAAAGCGUGGGGAGCGAACAGG